This 1382-nucleotide ribosomal RNA is filed under the name Mictyris longicarpus. RNAcentral describes it as "l-rRNA". The stretch from base 1087 to 1247 matches the Rfam family "Bacterial large subunit ribosomal RNA", at positions 2473 to 2632 of the family's 2925-position model. The record is from RNAcentral. Lineage: Eukaryota; Metazoa; Arthropoda; Malacostraca; Decapoda; Mictyridae.
AUUAUAUAAUUUGCUUAAGCAAAGAAGAAAACUAAAAGAAAGUAAGAAAAAUAAUUUUAACGAAUUUAUGUUAGUAAAGUUUAAUUAAAUCUAAUAAAGGCUAUAGAGAAAAGUACUGUGAAGGAAAAAGUAAGAAAAAAAAAUUAGAAAGAUUAAAGUUCUGUACCUUUUGUAUAAGGGGGAAUUAAAAUAGUUUAGCUAAUAGUAAAAAUCUCGAAAUAAAGACAGUUAAUUUUAUAUAAGAGUUCUUGUAGAAACAAGAUUCAGAAUUUAAAAUUAAAGAUGAAAUAUCAGUCGAGCUUUAUAAUAUCUAGUUCUUUGAAUUUCAAAUUUAAUUUGAACUUUAUAAGUUAAUUAUUUAUAAAGGGCUAAAGUAGGAGGGAUUAGCUUCUUAUUUAAAAAAAAAGAAAAGUUUGGUAUAAAAGUAUUGUUGAGAACUAAGCUUAAAAGUAGCUAUGUUAAUAAAGUGUUUUAACUAAUUAAACAAAAAAUAAUAUUUAGUUUAAAACUUUCAUUUAAAAUCAAAGAAUCAGUCAAACUUAAAAAAACUGAGGUAAAAUAAUUUUAUUAGUAGAUAAAUUAAUGUAAAAAAGAUAAAGUGAAAUGGUAUAUUUUUUUUAAAGAAUAAGAGGAAAAGAUACUAUAAAGGAACUCGGCAAAAAGCUUUUUUGCCUGUUUAUCAAAAACAUGUCUAUUUGAAGAUAUAGAAAGUCUGACCUGCCCACUGAAUAAAAUAAUUGAAGGGCCGCAGUAUUUUAACUGUGCAAAGGUAGCAUAAUAGUUAGGUUUUUAAUUGAAAUCUUGUAUGAAUGGUUCGACAAAAAAAGCGCUGUCUCUAUAGUAAUAUUUGAAUUUAACUUUUAAGUGAAAAGGCUUAAAUGUAUUAAGAAGACGAUAAGACCCUAUAAAGCUUUAUAUAGAUAUUUGAUUAAAAGUGAAUUAACGUAUAAAAUUUUAAUGAAAUAAUAUUAUUAUAUUGGGGCGAUAAAGGUAUAAUUAUUAUUAACUGCCUGAAAAUAAAACAUAAAUAAGUGAAAAUAAAAUAAUAGAUCCUUAGAUAAAGAUUUAAGUUUAAGUUACUUUAGGGAUAACAGCGUUAUUUUUUUUGAGAGUACUUAUCGAAAAAAAAGUUUGCGACCUCGAUGUUGAAUUAAGAUUUCUUUUUAGUUGCAGCAGUUAAAAAAGAAGGUCUGUUCGACCUUUAAAUUUCUUACAUGAUUUGAGUUCAAACCGGCGUGAGCCAGGUUGGUUUCUAUCUUUUAAUGAGCAAAAUCUUACUUUAGUACGAAAGGAUUAAGUAAGUUAAAUUAUUUUAUAAACUGACUAUUACUUUGGCAGAUAAUAUGCAUUAGACUUAGGAUCUAAUUAAAUAGGCCGGUCCU